Molecule: ribosomal RNA, 253 nt
Filed under: uncultured bacterium
Lineage: Bacteria
Description: partial 16S ribosomal RNA
Rfam family: Bacterial small subunit ribosomal RNA
Source: RNAcentral
UACAGAGGGUGCAAGCGUUGUUCGGAAUUAUUGGGCGUAAAGGGCGCGUAGGCGGCCAACUAAGUCAUACGUGAAAUCCCUCGGCUUAACCGGGGAACUGCGUCUGAUACUGGAUGGCUUGAGUUCGGGAGAGGGAUGCGGAAUUCCAGGUGUAGCGGUGAAAUGCGUAGAUAUCUGGAGGAACACCGGUGGCGAAGGCGGCAUCCUGGACCGAUACUGACGCUGAUGAGCGAAAGCCAGGGGAGCAAACGGG